UCUCUUCAAAAAAAGAAAAAAAAAUCCAUCGUUCUCUCUUUUCUCUCUCUCGCCGGCGAUUCAACGUUCUCUCUCUCAGUCUCUCCGAUGAGCUCGUUCGCUUCUUGCCAUGGCUGUCAUCCAUGGCGUCGCCGACGAAGAACAUCUCCGACGUCAGAAGCUCUCCCUCGGCGGCAACCGACGAUUGCGCAGCGAAGCUCAGCGCUUGCCGGACGAUCUCGACGGAGAGAAGCCUUGUUGCGGAUCAGAGCGCAACGAGACGGCAUCGUUUCACCACCUCCUCCUCUUUCUCCCGCGUUUUCUCUGAUCUCGACGCCGAUCCAAAGCAGAUCUGAUGUCGCCGGCCAAAAUUGACCACUGCAGGUCAGAAUUCGAAAUUAUCUAUCUAUUAUGCCUCCGGCGAGGAGACCACCAUAACAAUCGCUCACCUUCGCCGGCACUCUCAGUCUUAGAGAAGAAAAUGAGGGGGAUGGAUAUAACAACUGCCCAUUCAUUUGUCUAUUGAAGGGGGAGAAGGAGUCGGUGGCGCGUCGGAGGAGGGAGUAGGAGAAGCGGUAAGGGGGCUUGGAGUCGGCUUCGGGGGCGGUGCAUAUGCAGUUGAUUUUGCGGAAGCAGACGAGGAGGGAGAAGGCGGUGGCGGCGCCGGAGCCAGUGAGUGGGUGGAGGAGGUGCGUGCGUGCGUGCGGAGGGGCUGUGGUGGCUGAAGGGAUGAAGGUGACGGGGAUUGGGUGAUUGGGUGCAUCGUGAUUAAAAGGUUGAGUCUUUGGGUGUUGGGUGUGAUGUUACCGUUGAGUCUUUGGUGAUGGUGGGUUGGUUUUAAAGGUUGAGUGACUUGAGUCUGUUAAUGGUGGGUUUUUUCACAGGAGGAAGAAAGGAAGAAGAAGAAGAAGGCGGCUUUAGCUGGUUCGUUUUGUGCCGUGAAGGAGAGAAUGACAGGAACCAAAAGCCAGGACAAACCGGCCCGUUUUGUGUCGGUUCGGGUUUAGGCCGGUCCCUGUUCUCUGCAGCUGCAAGUCCGGCCCGAUGUAGCUAUGCCGGUUCUGGUCCCGGUCCCUGUAAAAGCAGUGCCGGUCUGGGACCGUGCCCAGCCCUAGUCUUCUUGGCUUCUUGCGUAGGCUAGGGUUUUAACUGAAUUUAGAGAUUCUAAUUUGGAUCUGGAUAUGAUGGAAUUGGAAUUGACUAGGUGCAUUUGAUUCGGCUAUCUUCGAAUGGAAUUGAACUGGUAUGCGAUUAUAUGAUGAGAAAAUUGAAGUAUGUCGGAGCCGGAGCUUUUCUUCUUUAACUGCUUCGCAGAUCCGGCUAAAAUCUGGAAUCCUCCAGUGGCGGCGACGACAACACGAACAGUUUCUUGAGGUUAUGGCAGACCCGAGCCUCCUUGCUCUUCUCCGGCGAGCAACAAGCUCAAUUUUUUUUUUGGGAAUAGUGAUAGUAUCUUUCUAUGUUUAGUAUCUUUUCAACAUGAUGUCAAUAGCUUCUAUUUUCAUUUUCAUUAUUUCAAGUUAGCAGCUCCGUGUAAUUGUUCUAGUGGCAUUUCAAUAUAGUGAUAGUAGCUUUAUGUGUC
Rosa rugosa (rugosa rose) is the source of this 1561-nucleotide long non-coding RNA. RefSeq lists it as uncharacterized. The record is from RefSeq and is a predicted model, not a curated record. Lineage: Eukaryota; Viridiplantae; Streptophyta; Magnoliopsida; Rosales; Rosaceae. The transcript is spliced from 2 exons.